Caretta caretta (loggerhead turtle) is the source of this 2337-nucleotide long non-coding RNA. RefSeq lists it as uncharacterized. The record is from RefSeq and is a predicted model, not a curated record. NCBI's taxonomy places the organism in Eukaryota, Metazoa, Chordata, Testudines, Cheloniidae.
CCCAUGUUCUCUCUUGGUUUAUAGAACUGAACAUUAGGUUGAUGCUUUGGGCAGUUGCCGCUUAAUUGCUCCCCUAUUGGUUCUGUGAAAGAAUUGAUGCACUGAUGAUCUAGCUUCCAGCGACCUUCAGAUCCCCCCUCUCUCAGUGACUUCCGCAAAAGUUGGUACCAUUCGGAGCAUUGUUAGAAGACGGGUGGAAAGGAUGGAGAGGCGACAGGAGCAAAGGUGUGUCCUGCUGCAGCCAUACAGAAGGGAUGGAAUCGUGGGAUUUUCUACUGGGUCGGAAUGAUCUUUAAGUGGCUGCUGUUGAUCUGUGACAUCAUAAUUACACUUGCACACACAAAGGUCCAUUAAAAGAACAUUACGAAGGUUGUGAAGUCGAGGACUCAAAAGGGCAUCAGGUGAUCAUCUGGUGCAGCAGCAGAUUUCCUCUGUACAAGAGUAUUGCACAAACAGGUGUGCAAUGAAGGUGGCUUCAGAUUCCCUCCCAAACAUCCAGAAAUGGCCACUAUUGGAGACAUGACACUGGAUUAAAUCGGUCAUUGGCCUGUUUCAAUGGCCUGCUCCCAAUGGCCCAACUCUCUCCAGUUCAGGUUCAACCACAGUAAGGGCUGAAGAACACUGAAGAGGUGAUGUGAGUAAGAACCAUAAAGCCGUUAUUAACCUUGCAACAUUUAGGAAAUACGAAGACAGCUAUUUGAAUUUUGGUUUUAUUUGUUCUGGAAGUGGAGAAAUACCUCAACCGCAGUAUGUAAUUAGUGCUAAAGUACUGUCCAAUGAAUGUUUGAAACCCUACAAUUACAAAUUCAUUUAACUACAAAGCACAACAUCUAUAAGGAUAAGCAGCAUUUUUUUUUUCCUUUUUUUCUUUUGUUUUUGAGCGAAAGGCCGAGGAAUGGCUUGGUACUAAAGCAAUAAUGAAAUCCACAACUACUGCAGAUAAGAAGCUUUUAAGGUCAUCUUAUAUAGUGGUGCAGAAAAUUGCUAAAAUAAAAAAAUCACAUACGACUGCUGAGAUUUUGAUAAUGCCAUGUAUUAUUGAAAUAACAAAGGAAGUGUUUGGAGAGGAGAAGGCCAAGGUACUGACAAAAAUACCCAUGUCAAAUGAUGGAUCAUUUCUAUGUCAGAAGACAUACUUUCUCAGUGUAUUGAUCAGCUGUGUGACAAUGGAUUUGCUAUACAGGUAGAUGAAUCCAGAGACAUUUCAAAAAUGUCCCAUUUAUUUGCCUAUGUUCGGUAUGUGUGGAAUAAGGAAAUAAAGGAAGACUUUUUGUUUUGCAAAGAGCUGAAGACCGGAAAGCAUUCUGGUGUUGUGCAAAAAAUAAAAGCCUUUGCACCUCACACUAUUUUGACACAUUGCUUUUUUCACUGAGAUGCGCUUGCUGCAGAAGAUACUGCACCAGGUCUUCGCAGCGGUAAUGCUCAUUAAUUUUAUUAAAUCCAGAGCAACAAACUCCAGGUGUUUUGCUGCACUUUGUGAGGAGGUGGGUACAGAGCAUCAUUUCUUGCUUAUGCAUACAGAGGUGAGGUGGCUAUUUUGAGGAAGAAUGCUUGCCUGUAUAUUUAAUCUCAAGGAAGAGUUAUGUACUUUCUUAGUUGAUAAGAAAAGUGAACUUGCUGAAGUGCUGAAAGCUGAUGUGUGGCUGGCAAAACUGGGUUACCUCACAGACCUAUUCAGUGAAAUGAAUAAUCUGAAUAAAAGUUAGGAACACUAAUUUUAUUGCCCAGCGUGAAAGAAUUGAGGCACUCAAAAGAAAACAACUCUGGAAAGUUCAUGUCUGUGGGGGCACUACUGAUACGUGUGAGCUCUUACAUUCUUUCAUUCAGGAACGAAACAUGGACUUUGACGUAAUUAAACCUCAGCUAGCAGCGCAGCUGCCCGGUCUGCUUAGCAAAUUGAAUGCUUAUUUUCCUGAACUCACAACAGAACAAGCUGCUACAUGCGUGUGCACUACAAACCCCUUGAGUGAGAACACUGAAGCUAAACUUCCAUCUAAUGUCCCAUCAAAACUGUUAGAAGAGCUCAUUGACAUUUCCUCAGACAGCUCCCUCAGAACCAGGUGCAAAGAAAUGCCGCUGGAGACAUUUUGGUGUGAGUGUUCCAGUGAAUACAUCACUGCUUCUUCUGCAGCACUGAAAAGUUUGAUCCCCUUUGGAGCCACCUACUUAUGCGAAACUGGAUUUUCAGCCAUGCCAACAAGGAAAACAAAGUACCGAACCAGAAUGAACAUUGACCGUGACGUGCACUUGUGCUUGUCAAAGAUACCCCCUCGUCUGGACAGAAUUGUUGAUCAGCACCAACAGCAAGUUGCACACUAAGUAAAUAAAAAUAAUAAU